ACGGUCCAAACUCCUACGGGAGGCAGCAGUGAGGAAUAUUGGUCAAUGGGCGAUGGCCUGAACCAGCCAAGUAGCGUGAAGGAUGACUGCCCUAUGGGUUGUAAACUUCUUUUAUAAAGGAAUAAAGUCGGGUAUGCAUACCCGUUUGCAUGUACUUUAUGAAUAAGGAUUCGGCUAACUCCGUGCCAGCAGCCGCGGUAAUACGGAGAAUCCGAGCGUUAUCCGGAUUUAUUGGGUUUAAAGGGAGCGUAGAUGGAUGUUUAAGUCAGUUGUGAAAGUUUGCGGCUCAACCGUAAAAUUGCAGUUGAUACUGGAUGUCUUGAGUGCAGUUGAGGCAGGCGGAAUUCGUGGUGUAGCGGUGAAAUGCUUAGAUAUCACGAAGAACUCCGAUUGCGAAGGCAGCCUGCUAAGCUGCAACUGACAUUGAGGCUCGAAAGUGUGGGUAUCAAACAGGAUUAGAUACCCUGGUAGUCCACACGGUAAACGAUGAAUACUCGCUGCUUGCGAUAUACGGCAAGCGGCCAAGCGAAAGCGUUAAGUAUUCCACCUGGGGAGUAC
Molecule: ribosomal RNA, 558 nt
Filed under: uncultured bacterium
Lineage: Bacteria
Description: bacterial SSU rRNA
Rfam family: Bacterial small subunit ribosomal RNA
Source: RNAcentral